UUCAAAGUAAAAGUUAUGAAACUUUUGUGUUAAGCCACAACUUUUACUUUGAAGG
Molecule: microRNA precursor, 55 nt
Organism: Oreochromis aureus
Lineage: Eukaryota; Metazoa; Chordata; Actinopteri; Cichliformes; Cichlidae
Source: Ensembl